UGGGGAACCUGCCCCAUAGUCUGGGAUACCACUUGGAAACAGGUGCUAAUACCGGAUAAGAAAGCGGAUCGCAUGAUCAGCUUUUAAAAGGCGGCGUAAGCUGUCGCUAUGGGAUGGCCCCGCGGUGCAUUAGCUAGUUGGUAAGGUAAAGGCUUACCAAGGCGAUGAUGCAUAGCCGAGUUGAGAGACUGAUCGGCCACAUUGGGACUGAGACGCGGCCCAAACUCCUACGGGAGGCAGCAGCG
RNAcentral lists this ribosomal RNA (245 nucleotides) under uncultured Lactobacillus sp. RNAcentral describes it as "partial 16S ribosomal RNA". It matches the Rfam family "Bacterial small subunit ribosomal RNA", at positions 118 to 356 of the family's 1533-position model. The record is from RNAcentral. Lineage: Bacteria; Bacillati; Bacillota; Bacilli; Lactobacillales; Lactobacillaceae.